UACGUAGGUGGCAAGCGUUGUCCGGAUUUACUGGGCGUAAAGGGAGCGUAGGUGGAUAUUUAAGUGGGAUGUGAAAUACUCGGGCUUAACCUGAGUGCUGCAUUCCAAACUGGAUAUCUAGAGUGCAGGAGAGGAAAGUAGAAUUCCUAGUGUAGCGGUGAAAUGCGUAGAGAUUAGGAAGAAUACCAGUGGCGAAGGCGACUUUCUGGACUGUAACUGACACUGAGGCUCGAAAGCGAGGGGAGCAAACAGG
RNAcentral lists this ribosomal RNA (253 nucleotides) under uncultured bacterium. RNAcentral's name for it is "partial 16S ribosomal RNA". It matches the Rfam family "Bacterial small subunit ribosomal RNA", at positions 524 to 776 of the family's 1533-position model. The record is from RNAcentral.